UAAAACGUAGGUGGCAAGCGUUAUCCGGAUUCACUGGGCGUAAAGCGCAUGCAGGUGGCACUGUAAGUAGGGCAUGAAAACUCCUGGCUUAACUGGGAGACGCUGUUCUAAACUGCAGAGCUUGAGGCUGAGAGAGGGAAGUGGAAUUGCCGGUGUAGUGGUGAAAUGCGUAGAGAUCGGCAGGAACACCCGUGGCGAAAGCGGCUUCCUGGCUCAGUCCUGACACUCAGAUGCGAAAGCUAGGGGAGCGAACGGGAUUAGAAACCCCGGUAGUCCUAGCCGUAAACGAUGUUCACUAGGUGUCGGGGGUAUUGACCCCCUCGGUGCCGAAGCCAACGCGUUAAGUGAACCGCCUGGGGACUACGGCCGCAAGGUUA
Molecule: ribosomal RNA, 377 nt
Filed under: uncultured bacterium
Lineage: Bacteria
Description: bacterial SSU rRNA
Rfam family: Bacterial small subunit ribosomal RNA
Source: RNAcentral